GGGGAAAGGCCGGGGACCUUCGGGCCUGGCGCGAUUGGAUGAGCCCAUGUCGGAUUAGCUAGUUGGCGGGGUAAUGGCCCACCAAGGCGACGAUCCGUAGCUGGUCUGAGAGGAUGAUCAGCCACACUGGAACUGAGACACGGUCCAGACUCCUACGGGAGGCAGCAGUAGGGAAUAUUGGACAAUGGGCGCAAGCCUGAUCCAGCCAUGCCGCGUGAGUGAAGAAGGCCCUCGGGUUGUAAAGCUCUUUUGUCCGGAAAGAAAAGCGCCGGGUUAAUACCCUGGUGUCCUGACGGUACCGGAAGAAUAAGCACCGGCUAACUUCGUG
RNAcentral lists this ribosomal RNA (328 nucleotides) under uncultured bacterium. Its description in RNAcentral is "bacterial SSU rRNA". It matches the Rfam family "Bacterial small subunit ribosomal RNA", at positions 198 to 507 of the family's 1533-position model. The record is from RNAcentral.